UACGUAGGGUGCGAGCGUUGUCCGGAAUUAUUGGGCGUAAAGAGCUUGUAGGCGGUCUGUCGCGUCUGCUGUGAAAAUCCGGGGCUAACCCCGGACUUGCAGUGGGUACGGGCAGACUAGAGUGUGGUAGGGGAGACUGGAAUUCCUGGUGUAGCGGUGAAAUGCGCAGAUAUCAGGAGGAACACCGAUGGCGAAGGCAGGUCUCUGGGCCGCUACUGACGCUGAGAAGCGAAAGCAUGGGGAGCGAACAGG
RNAcentral lists this ribosomal RNA (252 nucleotides) under uncultured bacterium. Its description in RNAcentral is "partial 16S ribosomal RNA". It matches the Rfam family "Bacterial small subunit ribosomal RNA", at positions 524 to 776 of the family's 1533-position model. The record is from RNAcentral.